RNAcentral lists this long non-coding RNA (250 nucleotides) under Mytilus galloprovincialis (Mediterranean mussel). The record is from RNAcentral. Lineage: Eukaryota; Metazoa; Mollusca; Bivalvia; Mytilida; Mytilidae.
AUAAUAAAAAAGAAAAUUUUGGUAUGCUUUCCAAUAAGACAACUCUUCACAAGAGACCAAAUGACGCAGAAAUAAACAACUAUAGGUAGCUGUACGGCCUUCAACAAUGAGCAAAUCCCCAUACCGCAUAGUCAGCUAUAAAAGUCCCCGAAAUGACAAUGUAACAAAUUUCAAACGAGAAAAGUAACGGCUUAUUUAUGUACUUAAAAUAAACGAAAAACAAAUAUGUAACACAUAAACAAACGACAAC